AAGAGCCCGGAGAUGGAUUCUGAGACACGAAUCCAGGCCUACGAGGGCGCAGCAGGCGCGAAAACUUUACAAUGCGAGAAAUCGUGAUAAGGGAACCCCGAGUGCCCGUAAAUUCGGGCUGUCCAUCAGUGUAAAAAACUGGUGAAGAAAGGGCCGGGCAAGACCGGUGCCAGCCGCCGCGGUAAUACCGGCGGCUCGAGUGGUGGCCACUAUUACUGGGCUUAAAGCGUCCGUAGCCGGGUUGUUAAGUCUCCCGGGAAAUCCAACGGCUCAACCGUUGGGCGUUCGGGGGAUACUGGCAAUCUAGGGACUGGGGGAGGUGAGAGGUACUCUAGGGGUAGGAGUGAAAUCCUGUAAUCCUUGGGGGACCACCUGUGGCGAAGGCGUCAGACUGGAACGCGCCUGACGGUGAGGGACGAAAGCCAGGGGAGCGAACCGGAUUAGAUACCCGGGUAGUCCUGGCCGUAAACGAUGCAUACUAGGUGAUGGCACGGCCAUGAGCCGUGUCAGUGCCGUAGGGAAACCGUUAAGUGUGCCGCCUGGG
Molecule: ribosomal RNA, 544 nt
Filed under: uncultured archaeon
Lineage: Archaea
Description: bacterial SSU rRNA
Rfam family: Archaeal small subunit ribosomal RNA
Source: RNAcentral